RNAcentral lists this ribosomal RNA (460 nucleotides) under uncultured bacterium. RNAcentral describes it as "partial 16S ribosomal RNA". It matches the Rfam family "Bacterial small subunit ribosomal RNA", at positions 338 to 795 of the family's 1533-position model. The record is from RNAcentral.
CCUACGGGUGGCUGCAGUGAGGAAUAUUGGUCAAUGGGCUUACGCCUGAACCAGCCAAGUCGCGUGAGGGAAGACUGCCCUAUUGGUUGUAAACCUCUUUUGUCAGGGAGCAAUGCCGGCUACGUGUAGCCGGACUGAGAGUACCUGAAGAAAAAGCAUCGGCUAACUCCGUGCCAGCAGCCACGGUAAUACGGAGGAUGCGAGCGUGAUCCGGAUUUAUUGGGUUUAAAGGGUGCGUAGGCGGCAUGCCAAGUCAGCGGUAAAAUGGCGGGGCUCAACCUCGCUCCGCCGUUGAUACUGGCGGUCUUGAGUGGGCGAGAAGUAUGCGGAAGGCGUGGUGUAGCGGUGAAAUGCAUAGAUAGCACGAAGAACUCUGAUUGCGAAGGCAGCAUACCGGCGCCCAACUGACGCUGAAGCACGAAAGCGUGGGUAUCGAACAGGAUUAGAUACCCGGGUAGUC